This 5645-nucleotide long non-coding RNA is filed under the name Podarcis lilfordi (Lilford's wall lizard). The record is from RNAcentral. Lineage: Eukaryota; Metazoa; Chordata; Lepidosauria; Squamata; Lacertidae.
GUUCUGGAAAAAGAGGGUGUACGGCAACCCUACAUGAUCUGUCCCUUAACUGGAAUGGUGGGAGCAGCCCAAUGGCAAAGUGCAUGAUUUGCAUGCGGAAGGUCCCUGGCACCAGAACUUUAAAAGAUCAGGUAUAUAUUUUUAUUUAUUACAUUUUUAUACCGCCCUUCAUCGGUAGAUCUCACGGUAGUUCACAGCAUAAAAAUACAGCAGGUGAGGUGACAUAUCUGCCCAGGUUUCUAGACUGAGAGCCAAAACUUGCCCUGGCAAAGACGUAACCCAUGGGUAGGUAAACUAAGGCCCAGGGGCCGGAUCCGGCCCAAUCGCCUUCUAAAUCCGCCCCGUGGACGGUCCGGGAAUCGGUGUGUUUUUACAUGAGUAGAAUGUGUGCUUUUAUCUAAAAUGCAUCUCUGGGUUAUUUGUGGGGCAUAGGAAUUCAUUUGUUUUUUCUCUCCAAAAUAUAGUCUAGCCUCCCACAAGGUCUGAAGAAGAGUUUGGAUUUGAUAUCCCACUUUUAUCACUACCUGAAGGAGUCUCAAAGCGGCUAACAUUCUCCUUUCCCUUCCUCCCCCACAACAAACACUCUGUGAGGUGAGUGAGGCUGAGAGACUUCAGAGAAAUGUGACUAGCCCAAGGUCACCCAGCAGCUGCAUGUGGAGGAGCGGAGACGUGAACCCGGUUCCCCAGAUUACGAGUCUACUGCUCUUAACCACUACACCAUACACCGGCCCCCUGCUGAAAAAGUUUGCUGACCCCUGACAUAACCCAUGCCUACCAUAGGUAUAUGUAAUCAGGGUGUGAGGACUUCGUUUCUCAUGCUGGCGGCUGAGGAAGCCAGAUUAGCAUUGCCGCCUGCAUGCAGCUGUACAGGAUAAGAUGGUGAGAUUCUGAUUGGUGCAAGGUCAUUCAAGGAACUUCACAGCUGAGCUAAAGGAUCCAAACCUGCAUUUGCAAAACCUAAUGCCCUCUGGUAGCCAAUAAACCCUUGGGAGACCUUGCUUACAAGCUCGCAGUGCCCUCUGUUUCCCCAUCCCUUGUCAUCACAGAGCCCUCUGCCCCCUGCUCUUGUCCCAGCCUUACAACCUGGGCCUGCCUUUGCACACAUACUUCUGCACAGAGUCCACAUGAUCUGAGCCACCUCCUGCCACUGUGUUCCCAACUCCACUGGCUGUGGAUUCCCACUGGAUUUCUAUUUGCUUUCUUAUCCUAGGUCACUCAGUUUUUGCUACUUUGCUAGUAGUCUUGUGCUGAGCUGCCCUCCUUGCCCUCAGGCUUGAGUGCUCCUUCUCUCCUGCUCUUCUGUGCUCUGCUGGGGUUCAUUUUGUCUUGCAGGGGCUGCUUGAGUUUGGAGUCCCCUUGCUCUGGUCUGGCUUGACUGCACUUCCCCUCCUUCUGGGUGAUGUGAUCCUGCAGCGGGGGCUGCUCCUGUGAGGCUCUGCAACAAGAGUGCUGCAGGGUGACUCCUAGUGGCGUGAGACUGUAUUCCCCGUCUCACUUUCCCCAGCCCUGCAGCAGAGGGUGCAGGCAGGGAGCCAGGAGUGAAGGUUGUGAGAAGUGAUUUCCAGGUGUUGGCAUGGCAAGCCAUCGUAGUUCUCCGUCUCCACCAGGAGAGAAGAGACGGAGCAUGUCCACACAUCUGCUUGGGGCCUGCAAGUGUUCAGCAUCCAUUGCUGAAGCCUGGGUGACUGCUUGGGAAUGAAGCUUGGGAAGGAAAUGUCAGCAAUAGCAGUGUUUGUACCUGUGAUGAAGAAACAAACUUGAAGAGAAGAAGAAGAGUUUGGAUUUUAUAUCCUGCUUUAUCACUACCCGAAGGAGCCUCAAAGUGGCUAACAAUCUCCUUUCCCUUCCUCCCCCACAACAAACACUCUGUGAGGUGAGUGGGGCUGAGAGACUUCAAAGAAGUGUGACUGGCCCAAGGUCACCCAGCAGCUGCAUGUGGAGGAGCGGGGAAGCAAACCCGGUUCACCAGAUUACGAGUCUACCGCUCUUAACCACUACAGCACACUGGCUCUCAAAAGCUGGUGUUUUUUUUCACCAAGUGCCCAGUGUCCAUGCCCUUUCACAAUAGUGCCCUCUCCUGGCGCUCAAAGUCCCCAUAAGAAGUGUGUGUGGCACAGUUCCAUGCCAUGAGAGGUAUCAUGUGAUUUGUGGCUGGUGCAUUUGGGUUGAUAUCUUGCCAGUGCUUUCUGUUGAUUGGCCAUGGGGCUCUGCUGCAUAUGGAGAGAAAUCUCAUGCCAGCAUGGGUGUGACUAGCAAGUGGGAUGGCCCCCCAAUUUUCUCACAACGGCCCUAGUCUAUUGUUUCCUAUGAAGUGGGGCCCUGUGCAUCAUGUCUUUUGAUGGUAUAGAACACUGGUCUUCAACUGGUGCUUUGGGGCCCACAAGUGGGUUCAUGACCUGAUUCAAUGUGGGUCACAACAGGAGCACUAUCAACAUCCAGCUAUAUGGUUAAAUGUUAAGAAAUGGGUCUCCAAAUACAUGUUUGGGUUAAAAUGGGUUGUGGGUCUGAAAAGAUUGAAGAUGCUUAGUGCAUCUUCUAUAUAUGUGAUCUGAAGAGGGUUUGGAUGUGGUAGAUUGCAGGCUUCUUCCCAGUAUGUCCUGCCCCCAUCCCAGGUCAUCCCUUUUCUGGGAUGUGGCAGGUGUGGCUCUUAUGCACCAGCCUGUCUGUGCACAGGUGGAUGGGCCUCUGUUGAUGGCAGAGGGGGAUUUCUGAAUGAGCUCCCCUGUGGGACCUGUGGCACCAUGUCCUAAACUCCUUCAGCCCAGCCGAUAGGGAGUUUGUAUUGCACCAAAACUGAAAAUGACAUUAUAUGGCAAACUAUGGAGUGAUUUUUGAGAAGACUUCUCAUUUAAUAAGUCUGUCUAAUCUCAGGAGAUAGCAGGUUUCUAUUUUGCUUUGCACUUUUUUGGGGGGGGGCGUGUUUCAGAAUCUGUGGUGUCACUGGAUAAAUUGUAUAGCUUUUCAUGGAUGUUAAUAACUGCUGCUCAGUAGUGCUGGAUACAUAUAGCUGUGAAGCCUUGAGGACAAAAGCACACUCUUAUUAUUAACAAGCAUGAAUAAUAGCUGUGAAGAAAAAGCUUUCCUGUGUUUAGAACAACAAGGAAACAGGGUGUGAAAUAAUUAUCUAUGAUUUAUGUUAUAUUUAUAAACUUGUGGAGGGGGGAUGAGAUUGUGUUAACUCCUCUGGAGACAUUAGUCUCCCAACAAGAAUGCAGAUUGUCAUUCAGGCACAAAUCUGUGUCAUGUUAUUUGUACUGAUUGUGCUGUCUCCUUGGGAAUAGAUGUCCUUGCCCUUCACGCCUUACAUAAAAUUGUUGUCCACUCAAAACACUUAAGAUAAGGAGAAUUAUAACUGAGCAACCCUAUAUUCCAAUGACAGAGUGUGAGUGUGACAAUGUGAGGCGUGAGGACAUAUGCACCCAUAUCCUAUGUCCACUCAGCCCAGGAAGGAAGGGGGAAACACAGUGUCCUGAAAAUCUCAAAACACAAGAAUAUAUUAUUUGGUUUCUUGGUUUAUUUGUUUUAUCAUUACAUUUAUAUCCCACCCCUAGCUGUCAACUUUUCCCUUUUUUAAAGGGAAACUCCCUUAUUCCGAAUAGGAUUCCUCGCAAGAAAAGGGAAAAGUUGGCAGCUAUGAUUCCACCUUUCACCCAAAGAGCUCAAAGUGGCGUACAUGGUUCUCCGUCUUCCUGUUUUAUCCUCACAACCCUGAGAGGUAUGUUAGGCUAAGAGACUGUGACUGGUCCAGGCUGCAUGUUUGAGUGAGGAUUUGAAUGCUAGCAUCUCCCAAGUCUCAGUGCUACACCACACUGGCAACACACCACAAAUGGCAAUCAUGUGUCUGGCAUCCAUGGAAGCAAAUUAAAGGUGUACGACGCAAAGGAAAAACGAGAGUGGCAGGAAGUGCAAAAGGGAAGAGGAAAGGUGUGUGACAUAGCAUUAAUUUUCCUAAUGAUAAAAUAAUUCUAAGUAUUAAAGUUGUGUUAAUUAGCUUAAUCUCAGUGUAAUCUGAAAAUCUCACAGUCAAAUAUACCAAUCCUAGAUAAAGUUGAGACAAUGAAAAUAAAAAUAAAAUGUCUGUGUAUGCUACACACUGGAAAAUUUUCUGGCUCCACUGGGAUAAAAGAAACACUCAGUACUUUGCUAGUUGGAUAUAUAUCCUUAUUUUAUUGUGGUCUCUUGUUCAGUGAAAUUUCUUAUGUGAUUUUCACACUGUAGAAUCCUGAACCUCUGUUGCAGAAAUGCUGCCACAAGAUGGCAGUACAUCACACCAUUAAUAAGAUAUUUUGUAUGGGUUUCUCUCUUACAAACCUGUCAACUGUGAAUGACAAACAUAUUUAAAAUUUAGCGAGAGCGUAGGUUUGUGGGUCAUAAAAUCUUCUUGGCAUGGUUUGGACCAACUCAUGUGCCAAAACAGUGUCACAAAAUAUGAUACUACUCCAUUGAAAGAGGGUUGUUCUUGUUUGCAGUCAGAGAUGCUACGUGUUUAGUAAUGGGCUGUAAUCAAUGUAAGCCAGUUAAUGAAACUAUUUAGCCAAAUUCUGCAUUUAAAAGCCAAGGGAAAAACCUAGCCAAAGAUUUCAGCAGGCAUCAAAAAUAGUACACAGUGCACAUCUGUGUAUUAUAUCAGGGCUAUUUAUUUAAAUUCUACUAUAUCCUUUAGCUGCUUCCUUUCUGGAAUGUCUCUGUGUGCAUUGUUACAGAUAUAAAGCCUGCUAUAUUAUUUCACACCGGGGCCACCAUUUGAAUGAAAAGCUAUGCAGGGUAACUAUAUAUAUAGAGAGAGAGAGAGAGAGAGAGAGGCAAAUCAAGUGAUAACUAGCAUGACUUCAUUUUCCAUUGAAUGGCAAUGUUAUUUGGGAUGGGGGGGAGACACAAGAGGGUUGGUUAGUGCAGAUUCAUACAACUUCUUUCACACAACCACAAAAUGGCCACUGAGGGAGGGGAAUUCUACUUAAGGGGUUAAAUAUACAACUGAAUACCCCACAGACUUUGGAUGCAAAGAUGUAUUUAAGGUUGUGUAUAAUUCCCCUUGAUGACUGCUUAGUGUGUGUGUUUAUGUUGGAGGCGAGGUUUGAAUUAAGGAAUCUCAUUGCCCCCAGACAGCAUGCUGAACCAUUUCUACAAGUAGUCAGAUUGUAGCAGUGUCAGGUUGCUACAUCACUUUCUCUGGAGCUCUUGUUAGAUUAAUUGUAAAACAGGAAGUGGAACUCAGAUCAGUCAUGAAAAAACUUUAAAUGAGUUUGGUCCUAUUUUCUGAUUAAUUGUCAUGGAUAUAAGUGAAACUCUAAACUACCGUGUAGCUUCUUAUUUACAUUUCCCCAAGAUAACCUUUGUUUGGCUGAUGUGAAAAGAAAGCUUUUCUUUUUGAAAAAAUGCCAAGGAGGAUGUUGCAAUAAAGCAAAUAAUGUUUCCUGCUUAUGUCAAUAUCUCUGGAUCUUAUUGCGUCAGAUGGGAACAUUUUGGAUUAUCUUCUUGCAUGAAGAACAUGGCCCUAUGGCAUGGGUAGGCAAACUAAGGCCUGGGGGUCGGAUCCAGCCCAAUCGCCUUCUAAAUUCGACCCGCAGACGGUCUGGGAAUCAGUGUGUUUUUACAUGAGUAGAAUGUGUCCUUUUAUUUAAAAUGCAUCUAUGGGUUAUUUUUGG